Molecule: ribosomal RNA, 301 nt
Filed under: uncultured bacterium
Lineage: Bacteria
Description: partial 16S ribosomal RNA
Rfam family: Bacterial small subunit ribosomal RNA
Source: RNAcentral
CAGUCGCCACGGUAAUACAGAGGGUGCAAGCGUUAAUCGGAUUUACUGGGCGUAAAGGGCGCGUAGGUGGUUGCGUAAGUGAGAUGUGAAAUCCCCGGGCUUAACCUGGGACGUGCAUCUUAUACUGCGUAACUGGAGUGCAAGAGAGGGUAGUGGAAUUUCCGGUGUAGCGGUGAAAUGCGUAGAUAUCGGAAGGAACACCAGUGGCGAAGGCGGCUACCUGGCUUGACACUGACACUGAGGCGCGAAAGCGUGGGGAGCGAACAGGAUUAGAUACCCCUGUAGUCCCUGUCUCUUAUAC